AGGACGAACGCUGGCGGCGUGCCUAAUACAUGCAAGUCGAACGGUCUUUCUAUGGAAGCUUGCUUCCACUGAAAGAUAGUGGCGAACGGGUGAGUAACACGUGGGUAACCUGCCCAUAAGAGGGGGAUAACAUCCGGAAACGGGUGCUAAUACCGCAUAGUUUUCUUGAUCGCAUGAUCGGGAAAGGAAAGACGGCCUUUGUGCUGUCGCUUAUGGAUGGACCCGCGGCGUAUUAGUUAGUUGGUGAGGUAACGGCUCACCAAGACGAUGAUACGUAGCCGACCUGAGAGGGUGAUCGGCCACAUUGGGACUGAGACACGGCCCAAACUCCUACGGGAGGCAGCAGUAGGGAAUCUUCCGCAAUGGACGAAAGUCUGACGGAGCAACGCCGCGUGAGUGAAAGAAGGUUUUCGGAUCGUAAAACUCUGUUGUCAGAGAAGAACAAGUUGGAGAGUAACUGCUCCAGCCUUGACGGUAUCUGACCAGAAAGCCACGGCUAACUACGUGCCAGCCGCCGC
RNAcentral lists this ribosomal RNA (518 nucleotides) under uncultured bacterium. Its description in RNAcentral is "bacterial SSU rRNA". It matches the Rfam family "Bacterial small subunit ribosomal RNA", at positions 26 to 518 of the family's 1533-position model. The record is from RNAcentral.